Marmota flaviventris (yellow-bellied marmot) is the source of this 1301-nucleotide non-coding RNA. The record is from RefSeq and is a predicted model, not a curated record. Lineage: Eukaryota; Metazoa; Chordata; Mammalia; Rodentia; Sciuridae.
GGAUGGAAAGAUAUUCAUGAUGUGUUCCAUGCUCAGCUGAGAAUAAUAUUUACCUAGCUAUACUGUUGUCACCAUUGAAAUAUGGAUCAAGCCAAGUACAGAUGAUAAACCUGGAGAAAGGAUGUUGGCAGGAAGAAAUCAGUUGAGGGUAGAUGGAAAGCAGUUCUUCAUUUUCUGUAAUAGGAAAUCAACACUUCCUAAAAUAACUAAAGCAAUCAGUAGCAACAUGGGCUUGCUUAUUAAGAGAAGAAGGUAAGUUCUGAAAGAUCCAUUGCUAGGAGCUUGGAGCAUGAGACAUAAGAGUUUCAGAACUGUUUGAUUAUUUAAAUCAAUCAAGAGAAUGUUUAACUGAUAAUAAUUAACAUGAAUUCAUAAUGUUGCAGACCUACCUGGAAUCCUGCAUUUCUAGAUCCUUCUUCCCCCCUGCCUCUCCCCAUUUUUUUCUCCCCAUUAUUGAACUGAAGACUGCUUUUAAAUAUCUCAUGAAAUGGUCCUACUGAAAGUCAAAUUUCCCUCCAUAUUUUCAGAUUCAAAAUAGACUUGAAUCCUAUACUGAGAGAGAGAUGCUUCUAAGAGUAAGCACUAUUUUAAGAAAAUCAUGCAAUUUGGUCAUUAACUAUAAAUAUCUUGCUAUGGUUUUUAUUUUUUGUGAUAUGUUUAAGUAUUCUAGUCCUAUUUCAUUUAUGUCUGAAGAAAGUUAAGCAUUCUUUAAAACACUUUUAGGCUGGAGUUGUGGCUCAGUGGUAGAGCACUUGCCUCUCAAGUGUGAGGCAUUGGGUUCGAUCUUAGCACCACAUAAAAACAAAUAAAGGCAUUGAAUCCAUAUACAAUAAAAAAUAAAUAAAAAACUUUUAAUGAUCACAUCACAAUAGGCCGUUUUCAUUUUGUGAAAUUAUGCAGAUUUAUUUUUGAUUGAUGUCUUCAUAUCCUGUCUUUAUAUCCUUUAUAUCCUGUCUUUAUAUCCUGUUUUCCCAGCAUCAUAUUUUAAAACAAGUGUUCCAGAAUAAAAGCUGUAUCAGUGUUCACUUUGAUUUCAAAUGUUUUAUGUUUAAUAAUUUUCCUCCAGUUAGGAGGGAAGCUCUCCAUCCUCCUGUGUGCCUGCUGGGGUUGUUAUGGUGGCCACUUUGUAAUGACAUCUCUUGGAUGUUGGUUAGAGGAGGUGACUGGGGUCUAUAAUCUUGGGUGUCGAAUUCCUGAAAGCUCUCUUUGAAGCUACUACAUAAUUUUUCUACUCAUGUUUCUGAGCACAAUAAGGAGUCAUUUUUUUUGUCAUAAUGUUCAUUAAAACUUUUGCCUUUGAA